Molecule: ribosomal RNA, 403 nt
Filed under: uncultured prokaryote
Also listed under: 1 other name
Description: bacterial SSU rRNA
Rfam family: Bacterial small subunit ribosomal RNA
Source: RNAcentral
UGGGGAAUAUUGCACAAUGGAGGAAACUCUGAUGCAGCGACGCCGCGUGAACGAUGAAGGCUUUCGGGUCGUAAAGUUCUGUCCUUGGGGACGAUAAUGACGGUACCCAAGGAGGAAGCCCCGGCUAACUACGUGCCAGCAGCCGCGGUAAUACGUAGGGGGCGAGCGUUGUCCGGAAUUAUUGGGCGUAAAGGGUUCGUAGGCGGUUAUUUAAGUCAGAUGUGAAAGGCAUAGGCUCAACCUGUGUAAGCAUUUGAAACUGAGUAACUUGAGUUAAGGAGAGGAAAGUGGAAUUCCUAGUGUAGCGGUGAAAUGCGUAGAUAUUAGGAGGAAUACCAGUGGCGAAGGCGACUUUCUGGACUUAUACUGACGCUGAGGAACGAAAGCGUGGGGAGCAAACAGG